Molecule: ribosomal RNA, 522 nt
Filed under: Pyrenophora tritici-repentis
Lineage: Eukaryota; Fungi; Ascomycota; Dothideomycetes; Pleosporales; Pleosporaceae
Description: eukaryotic LSU rRNA
Rfam family: 5.8S ribosomal RNA (bases 185-338)
Source: RNAcentral
UCAUUACACAAAUAUGAAGCCGGACUGGGAUAGGGCCUCGCUGCCUUGCCCGUCUGGCGCCAUAUUCACCCAUGUCUUUUUGCGUACUACUUGUUUCCUUGGCGGGUCCGCCCGCCAAUUGGACCUUAUUCAAACCUUUUUUUCAGUUGCAAUCAGCGUCAGCAAAACAAAUGUAAUCAAUUACAACUUUCAACAACGGAUCUCUUGGUUCUGGCAUCGAUGAAGAACGCAGCGAAAUGCGAUAAGUAGUGUGAAUUGCAGAAUUCAGUGAAUCAUCGAAUCUUUGAACGCACAUUGCGCCCUUUGGUAUUCCAAAGGGCAUGCCUGUUCGAGCGUCAUUUGUACCCUCAAGCUUUGCUUGGUGUUGGGCGUCUUGUCUCUCUCCCGAGACUCGCCUUAAAAUCAUUGGCAGCCGGCCUACUGGUUUCGGAGCGCAGCACAUUAUUUGCGCUCUUGUCCAGCCGCGGUCGCGCGUCCAUGAAGCUUCUUUCAACCUUUUGACCUCGGAUCAGGUAGGGAUAC